Molecule: transfer RNA, 80 nt
Filed under: Ephedra przewalskii
Lineage: Eukaryota; Viridiplantae; Streptophyta; Gnetopsida; Ephedrales; Ephedraceae
Description: tRNA-Leu
Source: RNAcentral
UCUAUUUAAUAUAGAAAUAAGCCGCCAUGGUGAAAUAGGUAGACACGCUGCUCUUAGGAAGCAGUGCUUGAGCUUCUCGG